CAAAUUUCUGCCCUAUCAACUUUCGAUGGUAGGAUAGUGGCCUACCAUGGUUUUGACGGGUAACGGGGAAUUAGGGUUCUAUUCCGGAGAGGGAGCCUGAGAAACGGCUACCACAUCCAAGGAAGGCAGCAGGCGCGCAAAUUACCCAAUCCCAAUACGGGGAGGUAGUGACAAUAAAUACUGAUACAGGGCUCUUUUGGGUCUUGUAAUUGGAAUGAGAACAAUUUAAAUCCCUUAACGAGGAACAAUUGGAGGGCAAGUCUGGUGCCAGCAGCCGCGGUAAUUCCAGCUCCAAUAGCGUAUAUUAAGUUGUUGCAGUUAAAAAGCUCGUAGUUGAACUUUGGGUCUGGCUGAUCUGUCCUCCUAAUCGAGCGCACGGAUUCGGUCGGACCUUUCCUUCUGGGGAACCUAUGCCCUUCACUGGGCGUAGUGGGGAACCAGGACUUUUACCUUGAAAAAAUUAGAGUGUUCAAAGCAGGCCUUUGUCGAAAUACAUUAGCAUGGAAUAAUAGAAUAGGACAUCGGGUCU
Molecule: ribosomal RNA, 529 nt
Filed under: uncultured fungus
Lineage: Eukaryota; Fungi
Description: SSU rRNA
Rfam family: Eukaryotic small subunit ribosomal RNA
Source: RNAcentral